This 204-nucleotide unclassified non-coding RNA is filed under the name uncultured bacterium. Its description in RNAcentral is "contains 16S-23S intergenic spacer region". The record is from RNAcentral.
CCCUUCAUCUUCCACAACACUUCACCGAAUCUCCUGUGUCCCCAAUACGCCUCCGCCUCCACCUUCCCCCCACCCUCCUUCUCCUCCGCCGCCGUCACCGCUAACCGCUCGUAAUACCCCGCGCUCACGCCUUCGAACUCGUCCAGCACAACCACCGCCUCCUCCGGCACGGCAUAGACCUCGCCCUUCACGCGAUGCCCCGAC